UACGAAGGGGGCUAGCGUUGCUCGGAAUCACUGGGCGUAAAGCGCACGUAGGCGGGUUCUUAAGUCAGGGGUGAAAUCCUGGAGCUCAACUCCAGAACUGCCUUUGAUACUGGGAAUCUCGAGUCCGGGAGAGGUGAGUGGAACUGCGAGUGUAGAGGUGAAAUUCGUAGAUAUUCGCAAGAACACCAAUGGCGAAGGCAGCUCGCUGGGCCAUUCCUGACGCUGAGACGCGAAAGCUAGGGGAGCAAACAGG
Molecule: ribosomal RNA, 253 nt
Filed under: uncultured bacterium
Lineage: Bacteria
Description: partial 16S ribosomal RNA
Rfam family: Bacterial small subunit ribosomal RNA
Source: RNAcentral